CCUACGGGGGGCAGCAGUGAGGAAUAUUGGUCAAUGGUCGGGAGACUGAACCAGCCAAGCCGCGUGAGGGAUGAAGGUCCAGAGUAUCGUAAACCUCUUUUGUCAGGGAACAAAGGCGGGGACGUGUCCCCGGAUGAGUGUACCUGAAGAAAAAGCAUCGGCUAACUCCGUGCCAGCAGCCGCGGUAAUACGGAGGAUGCGAGCGUUAUCCGGAUUUAUUGGGGUUAAGGGGUGCGCAGGCGGUCUGUUAAGUCAGCGGUCAAAGCCCGGGGCUCAACCCCGGCCCGCCGUUGAAACUGGCAGGCUCGAGUUGGAGAGAAGUAUGCGGAAUGCGCGGUGUAGCGGUGAAAUGCAGAGAUAUCGCGAAGAACUCCGAUGGCGAAGGCAGCAUGCCGGCUCCACACUGACGCUGAGGCACGAAAGCGUGGGUAUCGAACAGGAUUAGAUACCCUAGUAGUC
RNAcentral lists this ribosomal RNA (459 nucleotides) under uncultured bacterium. RNAcentral's name for it is "partial 16S ribosomal RNA". It matches the Rfam family "Bacterial small subunit ribosomal RNA", at positions 338 to 795 of the family's 1533-position model. The record is from RNAcentral.